Molecule: ribosomal RNA, 254 nt
Filed under: uncultured bacterium
Lineage: Bacteria
Description: partial 16S ribosomal RNA
Rfam family: Bacterial small subunit ribosomal RNA
Source: RNAcentral
UACAGAGGGUGCGAGCGUUGUCCGGAAUCACUGGGCGUAAAGGGCGCGUAGGUGGUGGCUUAAGCGUGCGGUGAAAGCUCGGAGCUCAACUCCGAGUCGGCCGUGCGAACUGGGCUCACUGGAGCAUAGUAGAGGCAGGUGGAAUUCCGGGUGUAGCGGUGGAAUGCGUAGAGAUCCGGAAGAACACCGGUGGCGAAGGCGGCCUGCUGGGCUAUGGCUGACACUGAGGCGGGACAGCGUGGGGAGCAAACAGG